AGGCUCAUCCUACUAUAUAAAAGGAGCUAAAUCCUAGCUUUUCUAGAGGUGCCACAUAGGCAAAAUAAUCUCCACCUAUCAAACUGCCAUGUCACUAGCUGACUGGGCUUCGAAUUAAAAUUGCAAUAAAAAAUUUGGGAUUCGUUAUCGCUUACAAAAAUCUCGGUUUGUCUACAAUUUGCCGGUGGGCCAGGUAAAGAAAAAUCUCGCAGCCCAGCUCAUUAACCCAAAUCGCCGUCUUCGUAAAACUAUUUCCUUCGGACAAUUACUUAUUUCAACAGUCAAACUAUUUUCUUUUAAAUUUUCUAUUUUUUCAAAUAAUUUAUUAUUUCUAUUGUUUUCUUUAACAAUGUGUGAACUGGCUAAGUUUCCUUUCAUCUUAAAAUUGUCCGCCCAAGAUAACACCCCCCUUAUUUCACACACGGUCACUAUAAAUUUCUAAAAAAACCUAAAUUCUACUAUCAAACCCACCCAACAAAUUUAUAACUACCAGUUCCAAUUACUCAUGCUUCGACCUCAUUCAAAUAAUUAUGGGCCGGCCUACUUUAAUUUUUAAAUAACCAUGUCAAUAAUUUAAAAAAAAACAAACAAACCAUAACUAUGUUCACUUCAAAAAAAUAUGAAAUUAAUAAAAGAUGGGCAAUACAAAUAAUUCUCAUUUUUAUAUGUGCAUAACAUGCAUCAAAAGAUCAAAACAAUUGGGGCGACACCCUCGGACCGCAUCCAAUAAUCGUUAGGAUCUUUAGGAUGUGGCCCAUCACAAAUCACAAAAAUAAAAAUGUUUUCCUAAGAACAACUUUCAUUUGUCUUGACAUCCAGGUUUGUCUUAAAAAUACUUACUUUUAAUUAUUCCAACUACAUUUCAAAUGAUGGCUUUUAACCACUAAACAUGAACAAAUAAUGGAAGGGAGGGUGUCUAUUUCUACGUCUGACAUAAUCUACCAAUGCUUCGAGGAAGGAAAAAUUUAUCACAUUAGAUAUUUUAAUCUUCUUCCCAAUAACCAACGUUACAUGCUUACCGUUCAACCAUACAUAAUUAAUAUCAAUGAGACAACAAUUAUUACACUGAUUCAAGAAAACAUUCCACCGAUCCCUUCAUACAUAUUUCGGCCCCAACGCUACCACCCGUUGAUCAGCUUAGCAAAUGCAACCAAUUUCCUCCCAGGUAAAAAAAAAACAAUAACUCUCUCACAUACAGAUAAAUACUAAAUUUUUGUCCCUAAAACCAAAUUAUUCCUACAGAUGUUGUUGGCCGCAUAUGCCUCAUCCAAGGAAGUGAUUUAUAUAACCACUAUACAGAUUCAAAAAUCAUCAUUGGAUUGUGUUUAGACAUGUACUAACUUUUUAUUAAAUAACAAUUGGUUUACAACUAAACAAAAUAUAAUACAAUAAUUAUUUGUAGAUCAAAAUUGGUACGUCUAACUUUAUGAGACAAGGAGGCGUCUAAUUUCAGGGAGUUAAAUCACAUAUAUACCAGGAAAAACCAAGUAUCAUUCCACGGUUACAUGAAGGAAAACUAUCACUCACAACCACACCUGGAUCGCGCUUCUACUUUGAUAACGAUAUUGGUAUCAUACAACGCUUUCAAAAGAGGAAUAAACUGUUAUCCUAAGCCUCAUAGCAAACGACACCAGCCAACUUUUAAAAAAUUUACGUUACCGCUUUCUACGUCAAUUAAAUAGGUACACUCAAAUACUAUUUUCUCUUACGAAUAUUGAAUUCCUCAAAACAAUUUAUUAUUCAAACUUACUGUUGUUUUUUUUAAAAAAAAAUGAUCACUGCUUCCAACGUC
Molecule: long non-coding RNA, 1792 nt
Organism: Brassica napus (rape)
Lineage: Eukaryota; Viridiplantae; Streptophyta; Magnoliopsida; Brassicales; Brassicaceae
Exons: 2
Source: RefSeq, a predicted model, not a curated record